GUUGGCUACGGCGACAUCGUGCCGAAGACCUUCCUGGGCAAGCUGGUGGGCAGCGUCUGCUGCAUCUGCGGCGUGCUGGUGGUGGCGCUGCCCAUCCCCAUCAUCGUGAACAAC
Macrostomum lignano is the source of this 114-nucleotide non-coding RNA. The record is from Rfam. NCBI's taxonomy places the organism in Eukaryota, Metazoa, Platyhelminthes, Macrostomidae.